Molecule: long non-coding RNA, 680 nt
Organism: Equus quagga
Lineage: Eukaryota; Metazoa; Chordata; Mammalia; Perissodactyla; Equidae
Exons: 3
Source: RefSeq, a predicted model, not a curated record
CAUGAUGUCAUCGUGCGGGGGGAAGAACGCCCUGCCUACGGGAGGUCUGGCGCCCCAGGUCCGAGCUGUGCCUCUGUGUGAACCGUAGCUGCCCUGCUCAGUUUCAGGCAGGAUUGGCUGGAGGGCAAUGUGCCUCACAGGAAAGAAUGCCGGACUCACAGCUCUGCCAGGAACCAGCUCUGGGCCCUCAGCUGCCCCGUAGAUGCUUCCAUUUUCUGAUCCAGAAAGAAAAGAAGCAACAGACUACCUAAAGAGAGCAGGGUGUCAACAGUGUCAACAAAAGUCGCAAGUGCAGAGAAAAUGUCUUGGACAAAGCGGGCGGUCCUUGGUGCCUCUGAGAAAUGGGUUUCUGCAGCCAGAGUGAGCCAUGACAAAGAAUGCCGAGGGGAGAGAAAUGGAGACUGGUGAGAGACGGGUCCUUGAAAACCUUUAUUUAGCAGGAGGGCAAGGAGAGAGGGCAAGAGCAGGAGGAGCCCCAAAGGUUUGGAAAACUGGAGGCAAAUAAGGAGAAUAAGGAGAGCUGCCAUUUCUGAAGCCAGGAGGGAAUGUUCCCGACGGAGGAGAGCUGGAGAAGAAGAGCCCAAGAUGAGUGAGGAGAGAGCAGCUAAGGCGCACUGUAGAAAAAACGGUUUGAGUUUUUGAAAACUUUUUAUUGUGGAAAACUUCCAAACACAGAUAAA